Molecule: ribosomal RNA, 432 nt
Filed under: uncultured bacterium
Lineage: Bacteria
Description: bacterial SSU rRNA
Rfam family: Bacterial small subunit ribosomal RNA
Source: RNAcentral
ACGAACGCUGGCGGCAUGCCUAAUACAUGCAAGUCGAACGAGAUCUUUUAGAUCUAGUGGCGCACGGGUGCGUAACGCGUGGGAAUCUACCCUUGGGUUCGGAAUAACUUCUGGAAACGGAAGCUAAUACCGGAUGAUGUCGAAAGACCAAAGAUUUAUCGCCCAGGGAUGGGCCCGCGUAGGAUUAGCUAGUUGGUGGGGUAAAGGCUCACCAAGGCAACGAUCCUUAGCUGGUCUGAGAGGAUGAUCAGCCACACUGGGACUGAGACACGGCCCAGACUCCUACGGGAGGCAGCAGUAGGGAAUAUUGGACAAUGGGCGAAAGCCUGAUCCAGCAAUGCCGCGUGAGUGAUGAAGGCCUUAGGGUUGUAAAGCUCUUUUACCCGAGAUGAUAAUGACAGUAUCGGGAGAAUAAGCUCCGGCUAACUCCGU